UAUUCCCUUACUAUGAGUGUCGUCCUAAUCUGGUGCCAGAAGACUCGGUAAGACCAGAGACGCUAACGUUAAUCAUCAUAAACAGGCGUAAAGGGUUUGUAGGCAGCUUUCACCAGACUAUGAUUACAAAAUAAAGUAGUUUAAUUGAAAGCUAGAAUCAAAAAGAGGUUAUAGUGUAUAACGCCUAGAGGAGGGCUGAUAUCCAUAGAUCCUAGGCAGAAUACUCAGGGCGAAGGCCACUCUCCACUACUGAUUGACGCUGAGAAACGAAGGUUAGGGUAGGAAAUAGGAUUAGAUACCCCGGUACUCCUUUCUGUAAACGAUGAAUGGUAGUCAUUAGUAUGUUUAACUAGAGACGAAGUUAACACAAUAACCAUUCCGCCUUGUGAGUACUACUGCAAAGUAGAAAA
RNAcentral lists this ribosomal RNA (410 nucleotides) under Trametes vernicipes. Its description in RNAcentral is "SSU rRNA". It matches the Rfam family "Bacterial small subunit ribosomal RNA", at positions 474 to 900 of the family's 1533-position model. Lineage: Eukaryota; Fungi; Basidiomycota; Agaricomycetes; Polyporales; Polyporaceae. The record is from RNAcentral.